RNAcentral lists this ribosomal RNA (755 nucleotides) under uncultured bacterium. RNAcentral's name for it is "bacterial SSU rRNA". It matches the Rfam family "Bacterial small subunit ribosomal RNA", at positions 1 to 753 of the family's 1533-position model. The record is from RNAcentral.
CCCUUAGAGUUUGAUCCUGGCUCAGAUUGAACGCUGGCGGCAUGCCUUACACAUGCAAGUCGAACGGUAACAGGGAGCUUGCUCCGCUGACGAGUGGCGAACGGGUGAGUAAUACAUCGGAACGUGCCCAGUAAUGGGGGAUAGCUCGGCGAAAGCCGGAUUAAUACCGCAUACGCCCUGAGGGGGAAAGUGGAGGACCGCAAGGCCUCACGUUAUUGGAGCGGCCGAUGGCUGAUUAGCUAGUUGGUAGGGUAAAGGCCUACCAAGGCGACGAUCAGUAGCUGGUCUGAGAGGACGAUCAGCCACACUGGGACUGAGACACGGCCCAGACUCCUACGGGAGGCAGCAGUGGGGAAUUUUGGACAAUGGGGGAAACCCUGAUCCAGCAAUGCCGCGUGUGCGAAGAAGGCCUUCGGGUUGUAAAGCACUUUUGUCAGGGAAGAAAUCCUUUGGGCUAAUACCCUAGGGGGAUGACGGUACCUGAAGAAUAAGCACCGGCUAACUACGUGCCAGCAGCCGCGGUAAUACGUAGGGUGCAAGCGUUAAUCGGAAUUACUGGGCGUAAAGCGUGCGCAGGCGGUUGUGUAAGACAGGUGUGAAAUCCCCGGGCUUAACCUGGGAAUUGCAUUUGUGACUGCACGACUAGAGUGUGUCAGAGGGGGGUGGAAUUCCACGUGUAGCAGUGAAAUGCGUAGAUAUGUGGAGGAACACCAAUGGCGAAGGCAGCCCCCUGGGAUAACACUGACGCUCAUGCA